Molecule: non-coding RNA, 824 nt
Organism: Sus scrofa (pig)
Lineage: Eukaryota; Metazoa; Chordata; Mammalia; Artiodactyla; Suidae
Source: RefSeq, a predicted model, not a curated record
AAAAAAAAAGAAAACUCAGGACUUGGGGAAAAGAAGUUCCUAUUGAAGUAUUAAGAGGAUAAUUAUUUUUUUGGAUGGGAUUCUUCAAUAUUUUCACACUUAGACUUUUGUAUUACUCUGCUCUGGCAGGCAGUGGGCUCUUUAGAGAGACCCUUACUUAUCUGGAUUUUUUUUUUUAAUCCAUUCUUCUAUGGGCAGUUCAUACCCCUGAUCGAAGAAACCAAUCCUUGGACAGGCACUGCUUCUCCCUCAUGCUAUGGCUUCUGCCUCCAGAGGAGCCAGCCAUACACUGUGCUUUGUGAACGCUAGUCUCUGCUACCACUCUGUGUCUGAAACCAGAGAUAGAAGAUGGAACUCUGUCUGUGGACAAAAAUCAGUAUGUGGAGCCUGAAAAUGCCACUGUCCAGUGUGACCCUAGCUAGGGUGUGGUUGGUUCUCCAAAUAUCACCUGCUCAGAGUUCAGAACCUGGUACCCAGAUGUGCCCAAGUGUGAGUGGGUUGUCCAUAAUGGCUGUGAGCAAGUGCUUGCAGGCUGGAAACUCAUGCAGGGUCUCUUAAAUCCAGAGGAGGUAACUACAGCCCUGGAGUUGUACAGACUGUUCCUGGAGGUUGAACUACUGGAGUGACAAAGAAACAGGCAACACAAUUCCCCGAGGAGUCACCACUGUAAUUUUUCCCAAAAGAGGGAGAUAAAAAGUGCCAUACUACCUUUAACUCAGUAUGGAUCACUUUAGUUUAUCAACUUUACCAUCCUUUUGGCACAAAAAUUUAUCAUAAUAAAUUUUCACAUAUCACACUGUUUGUCUUCAUGGUCAUUUAAGACC